GACGAACCGUCCUAACGUUGUUCGGAAUCACUGGGCUUAAAGGGCGCGUAGGCGGGCUCCCAAGUCGGUGGUGAAAUCUUUCGGCCCAACCGGAAAACAGCCGCCGAUACUGGGAGUCUUGAGGGAGGUAGGGGUCGAUGGAACUUCCGGUGGAGCGGUGAAAUGCGUAGAUAUCAGGAGGAACACCGGUGGCGAAGGCGGCUUGCUGGGCCUUGCCUGACGCUGAGGAGCGAAAGCGUGGGGAGCGAACAGG
This 253-nucleotide ribosomal RNA is filed under the name uncultured bacterium. Its description in RNAcentral is "partial 16S ribosomal RNA". It matches the Rfam family "Bacterial small subunit ribosomal RNA", at positions 524 to 776 of the family's 1533-position model. The record is from RNAcentral.